RNAcentral lists this long non-coding RNA (1102 nucleotides) under Mus musculus (house mouse). Its description in RNAcentral is "POU domain, class 3, transcription factor 3 adjacent noncoding transcript 1". Lineage: Eukaryota; Metazoa; Chordata; Mammalia; Rodentia; Muridae. The record is from RNAcentral.
UGCGUUCCCUUGGCGGCUCCCUGUGUUCGCGAUUGGUCUGGGGGGGUUGGGAGAGAAAUGGAAGAGAAAAGGAGGGGGCGGGUAGAAGGGGGACCAGGAGGAAAAUGAAGAGGGGAAAAAAAUCUUGAAAAAUAGCAGUCUACCCAUUCUACCUAGACUGCGUUGUGUCGCACCCCCACCCCACGCGAGAGAUUUGUAAAGCGCGCGCCGCGGAUGUACGUUCAAGCUAAUACCUAUAGACAGAUGUGUCCCCACUGGUUUCAAAGUUUCCUCUUCCCUUCACGCGCGGGCCCCCAUCUCUGUCCUGCAGGAGGUGGGAAAGGAAGGCUUGCCUCGCGCAGAGCUCCUGUGGCCAAGCUUCUUGGAAAUCCGCCACUGCAACUUUGUGCAGCCGCGGCGCGCCGGCGGCGACCCUCUUUGUUUAAGUUCUCGGAUGCCAUCAUCUGGGAAACCUGCAGCCCUGUACCAGCGCGGGGCCCGCGCGUGCGAGUCCGACCGCUUGCUGCGGCUGCUCGCUCUCCAACCCCCCCUCCCUCCUUUCCUCCCUCCCACCCACCCUCCUCUGGGAUUCUUGCAAGUAUCGUGCGUGCCCUUGUGAGUUUGGAGGGUGCCGGUCAACGAAGCCACGCGAGGUAUUUGAAAGGCAAUCAGCCCGACCGUCCCCCUAGAUUCAUCGGAGAAGGAACUCAGUGAAUAUUGCCCUGGGUCCUGGUAAUUCCACCUACUGAAGACAACUGCCCCUUCUGCUCAUAUUUCCUGAGUCAACAUGGCCGUUCCUAACUUUGAAGAGACUUUAGACAUUCUUUGUUACAAUGAACCUAGAAGAAAGAAGAGAAAUAAUAACUGCCAUGGAAGGAUGCUCCUCCUGCCAAUUGGCACUUAUCAAUGACAUCGAGGGAGAGGGACAGAGUGCCUAGGUAUGAGCCUUCAUCAAGUGGUAUGAAGGCCCUACCCCAACAGAAAGUGCUGAUGUGAUGAAAUGGUGCUUUGGACAAGACUUUUCCUCCAAGUUGGUCCUAUCCAGGGGUUGGCAAACAGGGUCCCUGGACAUCAUCCAUGUGGCAUACUCUUAUGAAUAAAGUUCUAUAGGACACAGACCUGC